Molecule: ribosomal RNA, 253 nt
Filed under: uncultured bacterium
Lineage: Bacteria
Description: partial 16S ribosomal RNA
Rfam family: Bacterial small subunit ribosomal RNA
Source: RNAcentral
GACGUAGGAGGCGAGCGUUGUCCGGAUUCAUUGGGCGUAAAGAGCGCGCAGGCGGCUUGGUUAGUCGGAUGUGAAAAUCCGGGGCUCAACCCCGGACCUGCAUCCGAUACUGCCAGGCUAGAGGCAGGUAGGGGAGAUCGGAAUUCCUGGUGUAGCGGUGAAAUGCGCAGAUAUCAGGAGGAACACCGGUGGCGAAGGCGGAUCUCUGGGCCUGUCCUGACGCUCAGGCGCGAAAGCUAGGGGAGCAAACAGG